AACCACUGGUCAUCUGAGUACUCAGACUGCCUCAGUUGAGCAACCUUCAACCAAGGAGGGGAACCAAACUGAACCCAUUCCUACUACCAACCAAACUCCGCAGAUAUUGACCAAUUCCACACAAACAACAGUGACACCACGUAAAAGACCGACCACUGAAACUGGAUCUACCACUGGUCAUCUCAGUACAGAGAUUACCACGAUUGGGCAGUCCUCAACCAAAGAAGUGAACCAAACAAGACCUGUUACUAACCAAACUCAGCAGAUAUCA
Non-coding RNA from Plectropomus leopardus (leopard coralgrouper), 271 nucleotides. NCBI's taxonomy places the organism in Eukaryota, Metazoa, Chordata, Actinopteri, Perciformes, Serranidae. The record is from RefSeq and is a predicted model, not a curated record.